CUACGUGCCAGCAGCCGCGGUAAUACGUAGGUCCCGAGCGUUGUCCGGAUUUAUUGGGCGUAAAGCGAGCGCAGGCGGUUAGAUAAGUCUGAAGUUAAAGGCUGUGGCUUAACCAUAGUACGCUUUGGAAACUGUUUAACUUGAGUGCAAGAGGGGAGAGUGGAAUUCCAUGUGUAGCGGUGAAAUGCGUAGAUAUAUGGAGGAACACCGGUGGCGAAAGCGGCUCUCUGGCUUGUAACUGACGCUGAGGCUCGAAAGCGUGGGGAGCAAACAGGAUUAGAUACCCUGGUAGUCCACGCCGUAAACGAUGAGUGCUAGGUGUUAGACCCUUUCCGGGGUUUAGUGCCGCAGCUAACGCAUUAAGCACUCCGCCUGGGGAGUACGACCGCAAGGUUGAAACUCAAAGGAAUUGACGGGGGCCCGCACAAGCAGCGGAGCAUGUGGUUUAAUUCGAAGCAACGCGAAGAACCUUACCAGGGCU
RNAcentral lists this ribosomal RNA (481 nucleotides) under uncultured bacterium. RNAcentral describes it as "bacterial SSU rRNA". It matches the Rfam family "Bacterial small subunit ribosomal RNA", at positions 501 to 981 of the family's 1533-position model. The record is from RNAcentral.